UUUGUUUUGAAGUGAUGCACAUGUCAGGUGUUACAGAACUUUCUCUGCUUCAUCUUUUCCAGCUGCUUCGUUUACAUGAUUGACUGCUCGCACAACCCUGCACUCUUCUGCGGCAGCGCGGAGCUGGGAACCGACGGCGAAUCUUCAAUAACAGGUGAUCACGGCUCAGCAAACAACAUCAAAACCAGAACGGCGAGCGCCAGAACAGCCGUCCUCUCAGCCUUGAAAUCACACUUCGGUUCCGUGCGACUCGAGGAGAACCUUGCCCUGGGUGUGUGAUCCCUCUAAUGGAAAAUGGUGUAUAAUCGAGAGGAGAGCUGUAAAACAAACAUCCAGACCCCUUUGGUCAUAAAACAGCAGUAUGUGUCAUGUCAGGAUGGAGACGAGUGGAUCUGCAGCCCCCGAUGACAAAGCCACGCUGAGAAACACAUCCAGAGCACAUGGACAUGCUGGUGACACACAGACAGAUGCAUUUGUAGAGACACAGACAUACGUGUUGUCAAAUUCAAGAUAUAUAUUCUCUAAAUCCACAAACAGUAGAACUAGUAAUACUUUCCAAUAAAGGUCCAGUGUGUAAGAUUUAGAUGAAAGGGAACAAUUGUCAGAAAUGUAUAA
This is a non-coding RNA of Paralichthys olivaceus (Japanese flounder), 615 nucleotides long. Lineage: Eukaryota; Metazoa; Chordata; Actinopteri; Pleuronectiformes; Paralichthyidae. The record is from RefSeq and is a predicted model, not a curated record.